Molecule: long non-coding RNA, 474 nt
Organism: Trifolium pratense (red clover)
Lineage: Eukaryota; Viridiplantae; Streptophyta; Magnoliopsida; Fabales; Fabaceae
Exons: 3
Source: RefSeq, a predicted model, not a curated record
UAAGCUAAGAGGAGAAUAGAAAGUUCGGUAGAACACAUAUUUGAAGAGGUUUUGGGCGUUAGGGUCAGAUUUCGAACGACAACAAUGAUCAUUAGCCGUGAAGGAUGAGAUAUUCUGCUUGUUUGAAAGAGCUCUAGACAAUUUAGGGAGCUUGAGACAACAAUAUGGACUUUCCAAAUCUGGAAAUGGCGUAGACGGAAGAUCCACUGCAUGUUAUGAUUUCCAUUGCUCCUGCUUCUGAUUAUUUGAAGGAUUUAUGCAAAGUGAGUGUGUGGAAGAGUGAAGCAACAGAGCAGGUAUGGCCAGUAACUCUGCUUCUGGUGAACCUUGUACAUGUAAGACUAGUGGAAUUUGUUUGUUUGUGUCUAUGACUACUUUAACUUUGUGGAAAAUGUGAGUGUCAAAUUUGUGUGUUUUUGUUUGCUCAUUUUUAUGAAGUCUGAAAUCAAUUUUAGUUUUAGUUUUACCUUGUAA